CCUACGGGUGGCAGCAGUGGGGAAUAUUGGACAAUGGGCGAAAGCCUGAUCCAGCCAUGCCGCGUGUGUGAAGAAGGCCUUCGGGUUGUAAAGCACUUUCAGUGGGGAAGAAAGCCUUGGGGCUAAUACCCUCGAGGAAGGACAUCACCCACAGAAGAAGCACCGGCUAACUCCGUGCCAGCAGCCGCGGUAAUACGGAGGGUGCGAGCGUUAAUCGGAAUUACCGGGCGUAAAGCGCGCGUAGGCGGUCUGAUAAGCCGGUUGUGAAAGCCCCGGGCUCAACCUGGGAACGGCAUCCGGAACUGUCAGGCUAGAGUGCAGGAGAGGAAGGUAGAAUUCCCGGUGUAGCGGUGAAAUGCGUAGAGAUCGGGAGGAAUACCAGUGGCGAAGGCGGCCUUCUGGACUGACACUGACGCUGAGGUGCGAAAGCGUGGGUAGCAAACAGGAUUAGAUACCCCGGUAGUC
Molecule: ribosomal RNA, 465 nt
Filed under: Vreelandella stevensii
Lineage: Bacteria; Pseudomonadati; Pseudomonadota; Gammaproteobacteria; Oceanospirillales; Halomonadaceae
Description: partial 16S ribosomal RNA
Rfam family: Bacterial small subunit ribosomal RNA
Source: RNAcentral